This 494-nucleotide ribosomal RNA is filed under the name uncultured bacterium. RNAcentral describes it as "bacterial SSU rRNA". It matches the Rfam family "Bacterial small subunit ribosomal RNA", at positions 28 to 507 of the family's 1533-position model. The record is from RNAcentral.
GAUGAACGCUAGCUACAGGCUUAACACAUGCAAGUCGAGGGGAAACGACAUCGAAAGCUUGCUUUUGGUGGGCGUCGACCGGCGCACGGGUGAGUAACGCGUAUCCAACCUGCCCACCACUUGGGGAUAACCUUGCGAAAGUAAGACUAAUACCCAAUGAUAUCCCACGAAGGCAUCCGAAUGGGAUUAAAGAUUUAUCGGUGAUGGAUGGGGAUGCGUCUGAUUAGCUUGUCGGCGGGGUAACGGCCCACCAAGGCAACGAUCAGUAGGGGUUCUGGAGAGGAAGGUCCCCCCACAUUGGAACUGAGACACGGUCCAAACUCCUACGGGAGGCAGCAGUGAGGAAUAUUGGUCAAUGGACGGGAGUCUGAACCAGCCAAGUAGCGUGCAGGAUGACGGCCCUAUGGGUUGUAAACUGCUUUUAUAAGGGAAUAAAGUGAGCCUCGUGAGGCUUUUUGCAUGUACCUUAUGAAUAAGGACCGGCUAAUUCCGUG